This 260-nucleotide ribosomal RNA is filed under the name uncultured bacterium. RNAcentral describes it as "partial 16S ribosomal RNA". It matches the Rfam family "Bacterial small subunit ribosomal RNA", at positions 335 to 610 of the family's 1533-position model. The record is from RNAcentral.
AUCCUACGGGACGCAGCAGUGGGGAAUAUUGGGCAAUGGGCGCAAGCCUGACCCAGCAACGCCGCGUGAAGGAAGACGGCUUUCGGGUUGUAAACUUCUUUUCUUGGGGACGAAGAAAGUGACGGUACCCAAGGAAUAAGCCACGGCUAACUGCGUGCCAGCAGCCGCGGUCAUACGUAUGUGGCACGCUUUAUCCGGAUUUAUUGGGUGUAAAGGGCGUUUAGGCGGGAUUGCAAGUCCGAUGUGAACACCACGGGCUC